Non-coding RNA from Triticum aestivum (bread wheat), 126 nucleotides. NCBI's taxonomy places the organism in Eukaryota, Viridiplantae, Streptophyta, Magnoliopsida, Poales, Poaceae. The record is from Rfam.
UAUGUACUCCUUCCAUCCGAGAAAGCUUGUCCCUCAAAUGGAUGUAUCUAGCACUAACUUGGUUCUAGAUACAUCCAUUUGAGGGACAAGCUUGGGACAAGCUUUUUUGGACGGAGGGAGUACGUA